RNAcentral lists this ribosomal RNA (468 nucleotides) under uncultured bacterium. RNAcentral describes it as "partial 16S ribosomal RNA". It matches the Rfam family "Bacterial small subunit ribosomal RNA", at positions 28 to 507 of the family's 1533-position model. The record is from RNAcentral.
GACGAACGCUGGCGGCGUGCUUAACACAUGCAAGUCGAACGGAAAGGCCCUGCUUUUGUGGGGUGCUCGAGUGGCGAACGGGUGAGUAACACGUGAGUAACCUGCCCUUGACUUUGGGAUAACUUCAGGAAACUGGGGCUAAUACCGGAUAGGAGCUCCUGCUGCAUGGUGGGGGUUGGAAAGUUUCGGCGGUUGGGGAUGGACUCGCGGCUUAUCAGCUUGUUGGUGGGGUAGUGGCUUACCAAGGCUUUGACGGGUAGCCGGCCUGAGAGGGUGACCGGCCACAUUGGGACUGAGAUACGGCCGAGACUCCUACGGGAGGCAGCAGUGGGGAAUAUUGCACAAUGGGCGGAAGCCUGAUGCAGCAACGCCGCGUGCGGGAUGACGGCCUUCGGGUUGUAAACCGCUUUCGCCUGUGACGAAGCGUGUGUGACGGUAAUGGGUAAAGAAGCACCGGCUAACUACGUG